Molecule: transfer-messenger RNA, 360 nt
Filed under: Fidelibacterota bacterium
Lineage: Bacteria; Pseudomonadati; Fidelibacterota
Rfam family: transfer-messenger RNA
About the family: Bacterial tmRNA, also known as 10Sa RNA or SsrA, is named for its dual tRNA and mRNA-like properties. Its role is to liberate the mRNA from a stalled ribosome. To accomplish this part of the tmRNA is used as a reading frame that ends in a translation stop signal.
Source: RNAcentral
GGGGACGAACAGGCUUCGACGGGGGUAUUGAAGCGGAGUGAAGCAGGCCGAGGUUCCGGGAUGCCUCGUUAAACAGCUCGGACAACAAUCAAGUGCCAACGAUUAUUCGUACGCACUGGCCGCUUAAUAAAUAACGCGGCUCGUCUUCAUCGGAAUUAGUCCGCCGGUUUCAAUGAAGGCGUCGUUUUCAGCGGACUGGCUGAUACUGCGCCGGGCAGUGUCAGUGAGAUAACACCGGCUGGCUGAUUGAAUGCGGUGUCUGUUUCGGAUUCGAUCGGCGAGAUUUUAAAACGGACUAAGCUUGUAGAAGCCUUCGGGGCUUAUCUUCGGACGCGGGUUCAAUUCCCGCCGUCUCCACAU